This 48-nucleotide non-coding RNA is filed under the name Schistosoma bovis. The record is from RNAcentral. Lineage: Eukaryota; Metazoa; Platyhelminthes; Trematoda; Strigeidida; Schistosomatidae. RNAcentral also lists the same sequence under 1 other name.
AUCCAUCUGAUGAGUUCUAAAUAGGACGAAGCGAGCGUCAAACUGGAU